GCCGGGUUAGCUCAGUGGUAGAGCAGUGGACUGAAAAUCCUCGUGUCCCCAGUUCAAUUCUGGGACCCGGCACCA
Molecule: transfer RNA, 75 nt
Filed under: Patescibacteria group bacterium
Lineage: Bacteria
Description: tRNA-Phe
Rfam family: tRNA
About the family: Transfer RNA (tRNA) molecules are approximately 80 nucleotides in length. Their secondary structure includes four short double-helical elements and three loops (D, anti-codon, and T loops).
Source: RNAcentral